Molecule: ribosomal RNA, 411 nt
Filed under: uncultured microorganism
Description: bacterial SSU rRNA
Rfam family: Archaeal small subunit ribosomal RNA
Source: RNAcentral
GUGCAGCAGGCGCGAAACUUCACAAUGUGCGAAGCACGAUGAGGGAAUCCCAAGUGCUUGCACGUAAGUGUAAGCUGUUCUCUGUCUAAACGCAGAGAGAGUAAGGGCUGGGUAAGACGGGUGCCAGCCGCCGCGGUAAUACCUGCAGCUCGAGUGGUGACCGUUAUUAUUGGGCCUAAAACGUCCGUAGCCGGUUUAAUAAAUGCCUGGGUAAAUCGGACCGCUUAACGGUUCGAAUUCCGGGUAGACUGUUAAACUUGAGACCGGGAGAAGUUAGAGGUACUCCUGGGGUAGAGGUGAAAUUCUGUAAUCCCAGGGGGACCACCAGUGGCGAAGGCGUCUAACUAGAACGGGUCUGACGGUGAGGGACGAAGCCCUGGGGCGCAAACGGGGAUUAGAUACCCCCGUAGU